Long non-coding RNA from Aethalodelphis obliquidens (Pacific white-sided dolphin), 2825 nucleotides. RefSeq lists it as uncharacterized. The record is from RefSeq and is a predicted model, not a curated record. The transcript has 2 exons. Lineage: Eukaryota; Metazoa; Chordata; Mammalia; Artiodactyla; Delphinidae.
CACACACACACACAGAGUUUUGCUGGGAGAUGAAAGAGAUGAGAAAUAAAAGGACUUAGAGAAGUGGAAAAAGAAAAAAAGGACUGAAGGAGGAAUUUUGUUUCCAAACUGCCUGCAGGUCUAAAAUGGAGCCAGCAUGAGAAAACAGGAUUGGAGAAGAGACGUGCUCAAUUCAAAGGCAGAACCAGGACUGGACCUCAGGAGCUCUCAAGUAAAAGGUUGCCUCCCUGAGAAGAGGGGCCUCAAUCAAAUCACCUUCCUCUUCCGAGUCUCCUAUUCUGCGAUUCUUCGUUAGUGCGUCGCCCCCCUCCCUUCAAGGUUUCCCGUCUAAUCACCUGUGUAUGCAUCUCAGUGUAUAUUGUUUUAAGUUGAACUGUCAAUGAGGGGCCGAAAAUAGGUCCAGUUGCAAAGUGGCUGGGCCACAGACCAUCGAUGAUUAAGGAAAUCUAAGAGAUUGCCCAAGCCAAUCGUUUUAAAAAUCAUUUUUAGUGCGAAAUACAUUACACAUACAGAAGUAUAUAAAACAAUUUCAUCUUAAACAAUAAUAACAAUAAAGCAAAUACCUGUGCAACUAACACCCAGCUUAAGAAAUAGAACGUUACGAGCACCAGAGAUAUGUCGCAACCAUUGCAUUGCCUUCCUCGCCCGGGAAAUAACCACGACCCUGACUUUUGUUACAGUAAUUCCCUUGCUUUUCUACAUACUUUUGCGAUUCAUGAUUGCAUCUCUAAACAAGGUAUUGUUUAACUUUUUCCUGUUAUUGAUGUUAUAUAAACAUAAUUAAUACUAUAUGUAUUCUUCUGUGACUUGCUUCUCUCACUCUUCUGCUGUAGGAUUCUCCCAACUUUGAUGUUGUGUAACAGGAAGUUUUUUCCAUUGUUAGACAGUGGAAUAUGUCCAACAUAACAUAUGAAUAUACAUUGAUUUAUUUAUGCUUUUUACUAUUGAUGGUUACUUGUAUUCUUUCCAUUUUUAGCUAUUGUCAACAAUGUUGUUAUGGACAUGUACAUGUCCACUAGUGCAUGUAUGCUAGAGUAGGAGUGAUUGACUGGGUGUUAAGUUUUGCACAUGUGGGACUUUAAUAGGUAAUGCCACACCAUUUUCCAAAGUAGUUCUACCAAGUAAUGUCUCUGCGGGGAAUGUGUAAGAGUUCUUAUUUUUCCACAUCCUCACCAACAUUUGGCAUUGGUAUUGAAUGUUGAAUUUUUGUGUAUUUGGACUUGUGUAGUCUAGGUAUCUCAUUGUGGUUUUAUUUUGCAUCUCAUUACUUUUGAGGUUGAGCACCUUUUCAUGGUUUUAUGAGUCUUUCAAAUUUCUCUUUAUGAACUGCUUAGUAGUUCUCUUACCCAUUUUUCUACUGGAUUCUCUCCAUCCCUCUCCCUCUCUCCUGAUGUAUAUUAGUUCUUCAUAUAUUCUAGAUACUAAUUCUUUGUCUAUUAUAUGUUGCAUAUAUCUUCCUAGUUUGUGCUUGGUCUUUUAAUUUUCCAUAUAAUGUGUCACAAACAGAACAUAAAUUAAGUCACGGGUUAUGAGUAUUCUUAGUUUGACCAAAUAAUUCUAAGUUGCUGUCCUCAAUGCCACACCAGUCUACACAUCUACAACCAAUGCCUGAGUGUAACUAUGCCCUCACAUUCUUCCCAACCUUGGCAUUAUCAAGCUUUCUUGUUUCCCCUAGUGUAACAGAUGUAAAGUACCAUCUCAUUGUUGAAUUUCUCAGAUUACUGAUGCAUCUGAGCAUAUCUUUACAUGUUUAUAAGAUUUUUGCUUUCUUUACGAUCAAUCGUCUGCUCAGAUUCUUUGCCCAUUUUUCUGCUGGAGUUUUUGUCUUUCUUACAAGAACUCUUCUGUACUCUAGUUAUGUAUACCUUGUCAGUUUCAGACAUGCAAAUAUCUUCUCCCUUUUUCAUCUGUUCAUAAACUUUAUCCAGGGUAUACUUCAGUUAAUAGAAAUACCUAAAUCAAUCAAUCAUUUUUGCCUUACAUUUUGUGUUUGUUUCUGACAUUUUAAGAAGUCUUCCUUAUUCCUAGGUGACAGAAAUAUGUCCUAUAUCUUCUUCUAUCCACUUCAUAGUUUUACUUUUCACAUUUUGAUGUUUAAUCCAUCAGGCCUCAAUUCUUGUACAUGGUGUUAGGAAUCCAGGAUCCAGGUUUUAUUUUGUUUUGUUUUUUCUGCUAGAGAGUAAGCUAGAUUUCCUAACAAUACCAACAAAACAUUCUAUACUUCCUCUCAUUUAUUUGUGGCAGCACCUGUAUCAUAUAUUAACUACGUAAAAUUCUGUCUUAAAGCUUCCUAUUCUGUCCCUGUGUUCUAUUUGUCUUUCUUGUAACAAUAUCACACUGCUUUAUUACUGGACUUAAUAUCCAUUCGGCAAGUUUCUCUCUCUCUCUCUCUCUCUCUCUCUCUCUCUCUCUCUCUCUCGCUUUUUCUCUCUCGAUUGUUUAGUUAUUUGUGAUCCUUUAUUGCUUCUUUUUAUUUUAGAGUAAGUUUAUUAAGUUUCUCAAGCAGCCCAACUGGAAUUUUUAUCGUUAUACAUUAAAUUUAUAGAAUAAUUCAGGGAAUUGACAUCUUUGUAAUAUUGCAUCAUCCCAUCUAAGAACAUAAAAUGUUUCUCUAUCACUUUGUCUUCUAUGUUCUUUACUAGAGUUUUCAAGUUUUCUGUAUAAAUGUCCUACUUAAUUCCUAGGUGUUUAAUUAUAGUUUUUUUCUUUCUACUAUUGAGAACAGUUUCUUAUUUUUCAUUAUAUUUGCUAGUUAUUGCAACUGUAGAGAAAAUUUUAUUUUUAUAAUUUAUCUGUCAAACCUAUUAAACUCUUACUGUUCGGAA